RNAcentral lists this ribosomal RNA (430 nucleotides) under bacterium. RNAcentral describes it as "partial 16S ribosomal RNA". It matches the Rfam family "Bacterial small subunit ribosomal RNA", at positions 355 to 776 of the family's 1533-position model. The record is from RNAcentral.
UGGGGAAUAUUGCGCAAUGGGCGAAAGCCUGACGCAGCGACGCCGCGUGAGGGAUGAAGGUUCUCGGAUCGUAAACCUCUGUCAGGGGGGAAGAAACCCCCUCGUGUGAAUAAUGCGAGGGCUUGACGGUACCCCCAAAGGAAGCACCGGCUAACUCCGUGCCAGCAGCCGCGGUAAUACGGAGGGUGCAAGCGUUAAUCGGAAUCACUGGGCGUAAAGCGCACGUAGGCGGCUUGGUAAGUCAGGGGUGAAAUCCCACAGCCCAACUGUGGAACUGCCUUUGAUACUGCCAGGCUUGAGUACCGGAGAGGGUGGCGGAAUUCCAGGUGUAGGAGUGAAAUCCGUAGAUAUCUGGAGGAACACCGGUGGCGAAGGCGGCCACCUGGACGGUAACUGAUGCUGAGGUGCGAAAGCGUGGGUAGCAAACAGG